Molecule: ribosomal RNA, 429 nt
Filed under: Fusobacteriota bacterium
Lineage: Bacteria; Fusobacteriati; Fusobacteriota
Description: Fusobacteria bacterium partial 16S ribosomal RNA
Rfam family: Bacterial small subunit ribosomal RNA
Source: RNAcentral
UGGGGAAUCUUCCGCAAUGGACGAAAGUCUGACGGAGCAACGCCGCGUGAGUGAAGACGGCCUGCGGGUGGGAAAGCGCUGUGAUCCGGGACGAAAGAGCCUGAGGGAAAUAGCCUAAGGAAGUGACGGUACCGGAAAAGCAAGCCACGGCUAACUACGGGCCAGCAGCCGCGGUAAUACGUAGGUGGCAAGCGUUGUACGGAAUUAUUGGGCGUAAAGCGCGCGCAGGCGGCUUACUAAGUCCAUCUUAAAAGUGCGGGGCUUAACCCCGUGAUGGGAUGGAAACUGGAAAGCUGGAGUAUCGGAGAGGAAAGUGGAAUUCCUAGUGUAGCGGUGAAAUGCGUAGAGAUUAGGAAGAACACCGGUGGCGAAGGCGACUUUCUGGACGAAAACUGACGCUGAGGCGCGAAAGCGUGGGGAGCAAACAGG